GGGGAUUUAGCUUAGGGGCAUAAGCACUUGCCUUGCAAGCAUGCGGUAGUGAGUUUGAUCCCCA
Molecule: transfer RNA, 64 nt
Organism: Cavia porcellus (domestic guinea pig)
Lineage: Eukaryota; Metazoa; Chordata; Mammalia; Rodentia; Caviidae
Rfam family: tRNA
About the family: Transfer RNA (tRNA) molecules are approximately 80 nucleotides in length. Their secondary structure includes four short double-helical elements and three loops (D, anti-codon, and T loops).
Source: Rfam